Long non-coding RNA from Austrofundulus limnaeus, 1211 nucleotides. RefSeq lists it as uncharacterized. NCBI's taxonomy places the organism in Eukaryota, Metazoa, Chordata, Actinopteri, Cyprinodontiformes, Rivulidae. The record is from RefSeq and is a predicted model, not a curated record. The transcript has 2 exons.
AUUAUUGUUUAACUAGUAUUAUUGUUUAACUAGUAUUAAUGUUUAACUAGUAUUAAUGUUUAACUAGUAUUAAUGUUUAACUAGUAUUAAUGUUUAACUAGUAUUAAUGUUUAAUAUUUAAUUAGUACUACUGGUAUUAAUAAGUAUUACUCUGUAGAAGUCGGACCGUUUAAAGGUUUUAUUGUGUGUAUUUUGUGAAGCAGCCUGGUUGAUUUAUGACUAUAAAGCUGAUGAAGGUUUCUGGUUUCAGUGACUUGUUUUGAACUUUAGCUCUGGCAGCCAUCUUGAAUCUUUAAUUAGCUCUCAGCAUGUGUUGAUCACUCAGCUGCUGCCACACAACUAUUGUUUCACAUUUUUAACUUUAAAAGAAAGUGAAAGGAGCAAAUAAAUAAAACUGUUAAAGGUGGCAGAAAACUUACAAGAUAAACACAAAAAGAUGAAAUUUUCAUGAAAGCAGCUAAAACGAGCUGAAACUGGCAGAAGAACAAGAAGAGGAAAACUUUAGCUGUUGUGUAGCAGAAAAAAGCUAAACUUGUCAAAAAGUUUAACUUGAUCAAACAUCCUGAAGGUCCUGGAAGGGUUAAACCUUUCUGAAGUAUUAAAAUAAAAACAACACAAACUAGAUUUAAAUCAAGAGAAACAGGAAAACAGCAGUGUGAAAGUUUAACAAACACACAACAGGUAACAACACAAACACAACUCACACUAAAAUUAAUACACAAACUCACUGUUUUUAAUGGUGACUGAAUUUAAAGUGAUCAACAACAACAACAACAACAGUGUUUGUGUAGAAACACCUGCUGUUUAUCACAGGUGUUCUGCCUCACACCACUGUGCAACAAACACACAACAGGUAACAACACAAAGAUGAAAGAAAGGGCUCAGAGUUCAGCUCGUCACUUCCUGUAACACCAGGUGUAAACACACAUUAAAUAAAGAACGGCUCAGCAGGUAACACUUCAACUGGGACUGACAACUACACACAGGUCCACUGAAGGACACACAACACAACCAGGUCAACAACACAAAAACAAACAAAAAGAACCACUGUGGGACAAAACACCUGCAGAGACAAACUAAAAACAGCAGUCAGGUCACCUGUUAACAGGAACCAAUCAGCAGUCAGGUCACCUGUUAACAGGAACCAAUCAGCAGUCAGGUCACCUGUUAACAGGAACCAAUCAGCAGUCAGGUCUCUGCUGUUAAAGUAA